GCAACGAGCGCAACCCUUGUCUUAAUUGCCAUCAUUCAGUUGGGCACUUUAAAGUAGACUGUCGGUGUUAAACCGGAGGAAGGUGGGGAUGACGUCAAGUCUCAUGGCCUUUAUGCCCAGGGCUACACACGUGCUACAAUGGGUGGUACAAAGAGCAGCAAGCUCGCGAGAGCAAGCGAAUCUCAAAAAGCCAUCCUCAGUUCGGAUUGAAGUCUGCAACUCGACUUCAUGAAGUCGGAAUCGCUAGUAAUCGCGGAUCGGCAUGCCGCGGUGAAUACGUUCCCGGGCCUU
Molecule: ribosomal RNA, 291 nt
Filed under: uncultured Syntrophus sp.
Lineage: Bacteria; Pseudomonadati; Thermodesulfobacteriota; Syntrophia; Syntrophales; Syntrophaceae
Description: partial 16S ribosomal RNA
Rfam family: Bacterial small subunit ribosomal RNA
Source: RNAcentral